GUUUAUAUGAAUGAUCUAAGUGUUGGAAGUAAACAUCGUACACUUUACAUUUGUACACUAAAAGUGUUAUACAAUCUAAAUGUACGAAUCAAACAGUGAAAAGUGACUACUUUGCAAAUUGUGAAUAGUAAAGUGAUUACUUUUCCAAUUAAGUUUGAAAAUGACUAUUUUGCCAACACACCCUUUUUGGGUAUAAA
RNAcentral lists this small RNA (197 nucleotides) under Arabidopsis thaliana (thale cress). Its description in RNAcentral is "ATSL026010". The record is from RNAcentral. Lineage: Eukaryota; Viridiplantae; Streptophyta; Magnoliopsida; Brassicales; Brassicaceae.